GGUGGCUCCUCGUGUGGCGCAAUCUUGGUUAACUCCCCCAGGGCAGAAAUGCAGCAAGGGUCGCUGGGCUCUUGCGGGUGCGCGAGGGGCUUUUU
Molecule: signal recognition particle RNA, 95 nt
Filed under: Microbacteriaceae bacterium
Lineage: Bacteria; Bacillati; Actinomycetota; Actinomycetes; Micrococcales; Microbacteriaceae
Description: signal recognition particle sRNA small type
Rfam family: Bacterial small signal recognition particle RNA
About the family: The signal recognition particle (SRP) is a universally conserved ribonucleoprotein involved in the co-translational targeting of proteins to membranes. Archaeal SRP consists of a 7S RNA and homologues of the eukaryotic SRP19 and SRP54 proteins.
Source: RNAcentral